UUUUCUCUUUUUCUUCUUUUUUUCUUUUUUUCUUUUCUUUUCUCUUUUUCUUCUUUUUCUUCUCUUUUCUCUUGGCUCCUUCCUAGCCGAAACAGGGGACCGGCAGGUCCCCUCCCUUGACCGACCGUCCAGGCCACGACCGACACGACGAAGGCCGGCGACAGAGGAGGGCAACUCUCUCGAGUUCGGAGAGGCAAGGCCGGCGGUCGGUUGUGAUCGCCGGCGCCGGAAAACCAAAGGGAAGAAGAGACCAAACAGGGGUCUCUUCUCCGACCAAAAAUCGGCGACACCCGUCGCCAGCAGUCGCGCACAGAGGCACGGGAAGAAAGAGAAAGAAGAGAGGAAGAGGAGAAAAANNNNNNNNNNNNNNNNNNNNUUCUUUCUUUUUUUCUUUUCUUUUCUCUUUUUCUUCUUUUUCUUCUCUUUUCUCUCGGCUCCUUCCUGGCCGAAACAGGGGAUCGGCAGGUCCCCUCCCUUGACCGGCCGUCCAGGCCACGGCCGACACGGCGAAAGCCGGCGACAGAAGGGGGCAACUCUCUCGAGUUCGGAGAGGCAAGGCCGGCGGUCGGUUGUGAUCGCCGGCGCCGGAAAACUAAAGGGAAGAAGAGACCAAACAGGGGUCUCUUCUCCGACCAAAAAUCGGCGACACCCGUCGCCGGCAGUCGCGCACAGAGGCACGGGAAG
RNAcentral lists this long non-coding RNA (684 nucleotides) under Elaeis guineensis (African oil palm). RNAcentral describes it as "long non-coding RNA (EGUI_LNC017161)". The record is from RNAcentral. Lineage: Eukaryota; Viridiplantae; Streptophyta; Magnoliopsida; Arecales; Arecaceae.